GCAUUGGUGGUUCAGUGGCAGACUUCUCACCUUCAUGUGAGAGACCAGGGUUCAAUUCCCGGCCAGUGCA
This 70-nucleotide transfer RNA is filed under the name Loxodonta africana (African savanna elephant). It matches the Rfam family "tRNA". Rfam says of the family: Transfer RNA (tRNA) molecules are approximately 80 nucleotides in length. Lineage: Eukaryota; Metazoa; Chordata; Mammalia; Proboscidea; Elephantidae. The record is from Rfam by way of RNAcentral.